Molecule: ribosomal RNA, 2662 nt
Filed under: Kladothrips antennatus
Lineage: Eukaryota; Metazoa; Arthropoda; Insecta; Thysanoptera; Phlaeothripidae
Description: partial 28S ribosomal RNA
Rfam family: Eukaryotic large subunit ribosomal RNA
Source: RNAcentral
UUAGGCAUAUUAAUAAGGGGAGGAAAAGAAACUAACGAGGAUUCCGUCAGUAGCGGCGAGCGAACACGGAAGAGCCCAGCGCUGAAUCCCCGGGUCCUUCGCGGCCCGCGGGAAAUGUAGCGUUAGGGAGCGUCCGUCAACUCGGGCGCGCGCGGCUAGCACAAGUCUCCCUUGAACGGUGCCACAAUCCACAGAGGGUGCCAGGCCCGUACUGCAGCUGCCGCGCCCGGGUGGGCGUCUCCUGGGAGUCGGUCUGUUUGAGAACGCAGACCUAAGUGGGUGGUAAACUCCAUCUAAGGCUAAAUACGACCACGAGACCGAUAGCGCACAAGUACCGUGAGGGAAAGGUGAAAAGAACUUUGAAGAGAGAGUUCAAGAGUACGUGAAACUGGAGAGAUGAAAACGGAUGUGGCUGGAAAUUCCGAACGGCGGUGUUCAGUCUCACCGAUCUUCCGGACCUCCCGUUCCGCGGAGAUCAAGGGUCCUCGCCGGCGCGCGUUUCGCUCCUCGCGGGGCGGGCGUCGCGUCGCCCGGGCCCCUCUCGGACGGGGUUAAAACGAAAUCGGGUUCCGGGGCGGUGUGGAUGCACUCACCGCCGUAGUAGGAUGUCGCGACUCGUCGGGUGUCGGUCGCGAGGCCCGGCCGGGCAGCCCGGGUUCCGCGUGACGCGCUCCUCUGAGGAAAAAUGCGCGCAGUGCGGCCCGGACCGGUUCCGGUGUUCCCCUCUCCGACUGCCCGACGGUAUCGAAAGCGAGUCGGCGCCCGCGCCCGCUGUCAAACGCCCCUUGCUCGCCUCGGGGUAGGCGCGGCCAGCGCGCCGACUGUCUGCGGCAUUGCCUGAUUCGGGUCCACAUCCGACCCGUCUUGAAACACGGACCAAGGAGCGUAACACAUGCGCGAGUCGAAGGGUGCCACUAAACCCGGAGGCGAAGCGAAAGCGUAAGGGACGAUGGCACACUUGUCGUGCUCUCGCGCCGAAACCUUCCUCUCGUGGGGGGGGGCCCCUUCGCGGGGGUUUCUUUUCCGUUUGGUCGGCGGAGGCGCGAUCCGGCAGGCCCGCAGUCCCGGGGCACCUCACGCGGCUCCGCGGUUCACGCGGCCCGGCCUCAAAAACCGGAGUCCGUAUCGCCGCCGAGUCGAGGCGCACCUGCGAGCGUAUGUGUUGUUACCCGAAAGAUGGUGAACUAUGCCUGGCCAGGACGAAGCCAGGGGAAACCCUGGUGGAAGUCCGUAGCGAUUCUGACGUGCAAAUCGAUCGUCGGAGCUGGGUAUAGGGGCGAAAGACUAAUCGAACCAUCUAGUAGCUGGUUCCCUCCGAAGUUUCCCUCAGGAUAGCUGGCACUCGGAGGAUGAUCGAAGCGGAUGACGAGUCUCAUCCGGUAAAGCGAAUGAUUAGAGGCCUUGGGGCCGAAACGACCUCAACCUAUUCUCAAACUUUAAAUGGGUGAGAACCCCGGCUUGCUCGAGACCGGUGCUGCCCGCGGUCGUCGCUGCUCCCCGUUCUCGGUCGUGGAUUUCUAGGGGGUCUGGCGCGCGUCUGGCGGCGGGGUCAAACCCGUUCGUCCCGAUCGCGUCGUCUCUCCCCUUUCCCGGCCGCCGGGGGUGAACAGGGCGUCGCGGGUCCCGGAAGUCCCGGCGCCUCAAAAACGCCGGGAAAUGAAGCCGAACUGGGCGGACACUUAAAAACUGUCUGAAACACGGAUCAAUGAGUGCCAAGUGGGCCAAUUUUGGUAAGCAGAACUGGCGCUGUGGGAUGAACCAAACGCAGAGUUAAAGCGCCUAAGUGGACGCUCAUGGGAGACCAUGAAAGGUGUUGGUUGCUUAAGACAGCAGGACGGUGGCCAUGGAAGUCGGAAUCCGCUAAGGAGUGUGUAACAACUCACCUGCCGAAGCAACUAGCCCUUAAAAUGGAUGGCGCUGAAGCGUCCCGCUUAUACUCUGCCGCGGGCGGCAAAAGCGGCCGGUAAGGCGGACGGCCUGGGCGACCAGAAACCGGCCCCGAGCCUUGAGGCCCCCGUGAGUAGGAGGGUGCGCACCGGUGAGCGUCGAAGGGUCUUGGGCGCGAGCCUGCCUGAAGCCGCCGGUGGUGCAGAUCUUGGUGGUAGUAGCAAAUACUCCAGAGAGGGCCCUGGAGGGCUGAUGAGGAGAAGGGUUCCGUGUGAACAGCUGUUGCACACGGGUCAGUCGAUCCUAAGCCCUAGGAGAAAUCCUACGUGCGAUGCGCGGGUAGUAUGUCGAGAGAUAGAAACUCCCGUCGCCGGGCGAAAGGGAAUCAGGUUCCUAUUCCUGAACCCAGAUGCGGUACCGUUCAACCGGGCUUGUCUCGAAGCCGCGGCGGGUGCGGGGCCUUCCGUCUCCCAUUCUCCCCUUCGCGGGGUGUUUUGGGGGUACGCGAACGGUCUCCCGUCUGCCGUCCGCGUGCCUAGGGCGAACUCGUCGGGGUAACCCGAACAGUCGCGGAGAAGCCGGCCGGAGCCCCCGGAAGAGUUGUCUUUUCUGUAUUACCGCGCAAGUUCCCUGGAAUUCCAUUGCGGAGAGAGAGGGAAUAGCGCGGGAAGAGCACCGCACUUGCGGCGGUGUCGGGGGUGCCCGCUCGGACCAUGAAAAUCCGCGUGAGGGCCACGGAGAACAACCGAUCUGGCUCGUACCCAUAUCCGCAGCC